AUGACAGCUGAGCGGGUUGACAUGGCCGUCCCAGACAAUCUGCUGUUCUUGGACACAGAUGCUGUCAACUCUUCCUUCGCUUCACCACCCAUAGAGCAAAAUGAGCUUGCCCGUGCCACAGACAACCAGACAGAUGACAGAUGCAGUUCAGUCCCUGAUCAACACCCUAAUCCAGCCUCAGGAAGCUCAGGAUUAAUGCCAGUUCCGCAGCAGGACGGGACUUCUGAGAUCCAUAGUACAAACAUUAAAAGGGAAAAUGAGAGUGGUUUAGUCUUAAGGCGGUCCCUGGAUCCCACUGCAAUGAUAGAAAUUCAAAUAAAUCAUCCAAAUGAUGAUAAAAGUGACAAUUGUGACUUCAGUACUGCUGCUGUAAAGGAGACUGACAAUAUCUCAAACAGUAUUAACAUCCCUAAACUAAUUCACCUAAUGGACAAUAAUCAAAAUGACAAACAUAGUGACUCAAACAGUAAAGCUGAUCCAAAUGAGGCUCAUGAUAAUUUGUUGAGUCCAGAAGUUCUAUUAUUAACAGAAGACAACAGGCAAGAAGAAAAGAGCCAAGACACCAUUUUAAACCGUUAUGUCUCCUCUGAGAGCACUGGACUUGAGGUUAGCCAAAUGGCUAAUGAUAAUAACCCCUUGGUAAACACUGUCUCUGAUGUAAUGAAUAGUGAGCAAAGCUCAUGCUUGAUUGCAAGCAAUGAGACUGAUGCAGCUUCUUCUCAAUCCCUCAUCCAGACUUGCCAGGAUUCAUCUGAAGGUGUUGAUGCAGCAGUGGAAGUGGCGACUGCAUAUAAAACUCAUCCAGAAAUGCAUGACAUUGCAGAUGACUUGACAUUUUGUGGCUUCACAACCUCUCAUAUACCAAAGACAGACGAUCCGAAAACUGGAAUUCAUCUAUCUUUGGCUGAUUUGCAUGAAGCAGACACUGUAAACAUCUUAACACAUGCCUCAACAUUAUUAGACACUUUGGGGUUGAACAACAAUGUGUUGGAAACAGCUGACAUGCCAGGCAAUGACAGUGGGAUCAUUCAGACUGUAAAUCAAGAAUUAGCUUCCUUAAAUGUUGAGUUUUGCACUGGCGUUUUAACCCAAAUGGUUCAGAAUCUUCUACGGGAUUCAAAAUAUGAUGUAACGGAAUCAGAAUCCAACAGAACUGAUGAUUCCAUACUUGACAGAAUGACUGAUACAAAAUUCCCUUUAGACAUCAAUUGGGUGGCAACUUGUAGCAAUGAUCCAAGUGAGACAAUAGAGUCACUUUUCCCUCAAUCCAUGCACGAAACCGUACAGAUUGGUGAAAAACAUGAGAAGGAUCUCUCACAAGUGAUCCCUUGCCCAACAACUGUCACGAAUAGAGAUUUAGAUAACUGUUCUGAGGAGAUCGACGGUGCUUGCUUAAAGUUCACAAGAACAGAACGUGAUGUUGAGGCUGGUAGCGAGUUGUGGCUGGACGCACGCCAGUUCUUGGCAGGUGAAGAGGAUGAGAGUGCUAUUUUCGACAAGUGGGGUCGUUCGUGUUCUCCCAGCCCCCCCAUGGCCCAUCCAGACAACACAAAAGCCUCUGAUUACUCCAGGAGGGAGAACAUUUCAGUUGACCGCCACACUGAAGACUGGGAGCUGAGGUUUCCACCUGUUGAGAGGCGGUCAUCCUCAGACAGCUGGGCUAGUGCACUUUCAGACUGGUUCCAGGCAGUUAACACCUAUUCAGAAGACUCUUUCACCAGCGCUAACACUUCAAGCACUGGUUUUAAGCUCAGUAUGGCAAUCCAGGACGACUUUUUGGAGCAAAGGACAAGUCCUGAUAAUGCAAACAACACUGGACUGACGUGUCUGUCCCUGAAUCUCUUAGAAUCAGAAGAACCAGGUCAAGCCUUGAGUAGAGGACUAGUUGAGUCUGAUAACACUAAUGGAACUCUUUUUAAACAAGGAGAUAGAGAUGGACUUCCUUCUCAUUCAGACUCAGACAGACAGGACAAUACAACAAUGGAGAACAACAUGAGUUUAUUAGAGAUGUCUGAAUCCCAUAAAACAGAUAAGAAUGCAGUCUUGGAUAUGCUUAAUACAUCAAAGUGUCCUGCAAAUAAGGUCAGUGCCAAACAUUAUGGAAGUCAGCACACCCCUGGAGAGUUUUGGAGUGCAAAGGUGAGAUGA
Cyprinus carpio (common carp) is the source of this 2148-nucleotide long non-coding RNA. NCBI's taxonomy places the organism in Eukaryota, Metazoa, Chordata, Actinopteri, Cypriniformes, Cyprinidae. The record is from Ensembl.